GAGGGGGCGUGUCCGUCUCGCAUGUUUGAAGUGACGUGGGGAACGUUAUUAGCGGGCAGAGCAUAAGGAGACCGUGAUGGCGAGGAGGCGCUGUAAGGUCAGGCAUAGGGAUAGGAUUAAAGUGAGGACGUCAGAUGGGGCUAACCAGACAAAUGAGGGCCCAUCCCAUUCAGGUAGAGGAGAAGGCUUUUGACUAUAAGGACAGUACCAGUGGAGUUUUGGGGGAAACCAAUGACCCACUGUCCAGUCCUGAUGGAAGCAAUACAAGGAUGAUCUGUUCUGUAAAAGGGGCCUCAGGAGCCCAGAGUCUUACAGCAGAUAAUACUGACAUACUGAGUCCUGCAUCAAAUCCUAACAAAAAUAGAGAAAAAUGCACUGAAAACCUAAAUAUAAAUGAGGAGGAGCAAAGCAAAAACAUCCCCUUUCUUACUAUGGAGGGUGAAGAGGAGGAACCUAGAUAUAGUGAUGAUCUCCUCCAAAAAGCAAUGGAGUUAUGUGGCCUACAAAAUGAGGGUGGCACCGCUCACUCACAAACCAUUGAUCUAACCAUUGCCCUUCCUAAAGACUUGAAUCCUCCUAAAACAUUCUACACUCUUCCUGCUGAGACACAAACCCCUCCUCAGUAUUUUCCAUCUUCUAAGAGGACACAGUCUCGGUUACACCAGGAACCAUUGGUGAAGCUCAAUACAGAAAAUGUCUCCUUCAUGCUACCUCCUUCAAAAUCAGAGAAACCCUAUGUACCAUUUGGUUAUAACAGUAGCGGUAAUAUAAAACAGCCAAUGAACUCUUACAUGAUAUGGAGAAGAAUUCACCAUUCAGCACUGGCGAGAGCCAACCCUACCGCCAGUAGUCGUGACAUCAACAUCCAGUUAGGUUGGGAAUGGCGCAGAUUAACUGAGGAACAGAAAAAAACGUAUUACAUUGAAGCCUGGAAACUGAGGACGAUACACCGUGAAAUGUUCCCAGAUUGGACAUUUACACGACGGACAGAUAAAAAUGAGAAAGCUCUACCUAUGGCCAUUUAUAACUCUUCCACCCCCACGAUGUCUCCAUACACUCAUACUACAGGUAAAACAGUAACAUUCCCAACUACUGUAUACACCCCACCGGAGCCACCCGGCACUGUGAUACCUUCAGAGACGGCAUAUGGUCCCAGUUCAGUUCAGGUUGCAGAACAGUUGUGUGGACCUCUAAAGACAACCUGUCUGCCUGAUCAUCUCCAUUACCCCAAAAAUCAGAAUACACUUGAGUACCAUGGUUACCAUCGAUUUUUUCAACAGUUUUUUCUCCGAGAACCUUUGUUUCUGCCUAGUCAACAUUUUGGCUUUCAACCCAGAAUGUGUGAGAAGGACCAUUAUAAACAGCGCGAUCCCAUGAUUUCAGGCUUCACCAGAGACUUCACCUGUUUUGAUGUGUCAGACGACUAAAGAUUUAGUCAGUAGAACAGGGACAGCGCUCAAGUGUAAAUGGAGUGACACCAGAAGUGGGUGCAACAUAAUAAAAAACAGUAUAUCUUAUUUAUCUACAUGUAUGAUGGUCCUGUUAUCUGCGAUGAAUCCACUUCAUUUACAGAAGACAUGAGCUGCCAACAUCACGUGAAACACGUAACGCAUUCAAAGGAUGGCUGUAACCUCAAUGAGAAUUUUCCAUUGACAUUUCUGUAAAUAAUAUUUGAAUGAAUAUCAUACUCUGGUGUUAAAACAUGAUAAAUAUAUGGAGCAACAUAGACAUGGCUUUGAAUGGAGUGGUGAUCAUGCACGUGCAAUGCCGUUCCCUUGGGCAUUCUUUGGGACUGACAUAGUACAGCGCUACAGACAUUAAAUGGGACAGGUUGCACAUUUGAUUUUUGCUCCAUUCAAGCUUCUCUGGAUCAGGGAGAUCUGUUCUAAACAGAGAUAGAGACAAAGCACUGGCAAAAUGUUUAUUGGACAGAAACCAGUGGUAACAUGGGUAACUGAUGUAUCCAAAACAAAAUAGAAAAAUAGAUGGCACUCACCCUCGUCUUUAUGUUUGUUAAAAAUGUAUCUUUAUUAGAUCCAUUUAGAAUGAGGCAGGUCGGGCAGAUAAUAGAAAAAUAGAUGGCACUCACCCUCUUCUUUAUGUUUGUUAAACAUUUAUCUUUAUUAGAUCCAUUUAGAAGGAGGCAGGUCGGGCAGAUAAUAGAAAAAUAGAUGGCCCUCACCCUCGUCUUUAUGUUUGUUAAACAUUUAUCUUUAUUAGAUCCAUUUAGAAGGAGGCAGGUCGGGCAGAUAAUAGAAAAAUAGAUGGCAAUCACCCUCUUCUUUAUGUUUGUUAAACAUUUAUCUUUAUUAGAUCCAUUUAGAAGGAGGCAGGUCGGGCAGAUAAUAGAAAAAUAGAUGGCAAUCACCCUCUUCUUUAUGUUUGUUAAACAUUUAUCUUUAUUAGAUCCAUUUAGAAGGAGGCAGGUCGGGUAGAAAAUAGAAAAAUAGAUGGCACUCACCCUCGUCUUUAUGUUUGUUAAAAAUUUAUCUUUACUAGAUCCAUUUAGAAGGAGGCAGGUCGGGCAGAAGAU
RNA transcript from Hyla sarda, 2533 nucleotides. It is a transcript of the gene named transcription factor SOX-30-like, with no coding region annotated. The transcript is spliced from 6 exons. NCBI's taxonomy places the organism in Eukaryota, Metazoa, Chordata, Amphibia, Anura, Hylidae. The record is from RefSeq and is a predicted model, not a curated record.